This 776-nucleotide ribosomal RNA is filed under the name uncultured Neocallimastigales. RNAcentral's name for it is "partial large subunit ribosomal RNA". It matches the Rfam family "Eukaryotic large subunit ribosomal RNA", at positions 23 to 634 of the family's 3401-position model. The record is from RNAcentral. Lineage: Eukaryota; Fungi; Neocallimastigomycota; Neocallimastigomycetes; Neocallimastigales.
AGAGAGAGACAUGCGCGCAUAUCAAUAAGCGGAGGAAAAGAAACUAACAAGGAUUCCCUUAGUAACGGCGAUGUGAAGCGGGAAGAGCUCAAAUUUGAAAUCUUCAAGGUUUUACCUUGACGAAUUGUAGUUUAAAGAAGUGUUUUCUGCUGAAGUUUUGGUAAAAGUUCUUUGGAAUAGGACAUCAUAGAGGGUGAGAAUCCCGUAUUUGACCAUUAUUUUCAGCUUUGUGAUACACUUUCAAAGAGUCGGAUUGUUUGGGAAUGCAGUCCAAAAUGGGUGGUAAAUUUCAUCUAAAGCUAAAUAUUGGCGAGAGACCGAUAGCGAACAAGUACCGUGAGGGAAAGAUGAAAAGAACUUUGAAAAGAGAGUUAAACAGUACGUGAAAUUGUCAAAAGGGAAGCGUUUGACACCAGUGUUGUUUUCUCGAAAAUCAAUUAAAAAUGGCUCGAUUUUGUAUUGCUGAGACCUUAAAAGCUCACUGUACAUUUUUCGUGUCUUUUUUAAUGCACUUUUCGUUUAACAAGUCAACAUCAGUUUCUUUUGUUGUAAAAGGGUCAUUGGAAGGUGGCUUUCUUUUCGGAGAAAGUGUUUAUAGCCUUUGGCCUCUGCAAUCGGAAGAGACUGAGGUCUGCAGCGUAGACUCUUCGGGGUUAGAUACAUUUGUGCUAAGUUAUAGCUUUUUAUAGACAACUUGUUGACUAUAAUUAGUCUUGUAGCUUACUCGCUUAUGCUAUUUUACCUACGCUUAGGAUGUUGAAGAUGUAGCACAUCAU